RNAcentral lists this long non-coding RNA (373 nucleotides) under Homo sapiens (human). Its description in RNAcentral is "non-protein coding lnc-GREM2-8:1". Lineage: Eukaryota; Metazoa; Chordata; Mammalia; Primates; Hominidae. The record is from RNAcentral.
AGCAUGGAAGCCUUUCCAGUUGUGAGUAAUUUGCUGAUUCAUUGUCAAGAGGAGACAAAUGAAACAAAAGGGAAAAUUCGUGUGCUGCUUAAACACAGAAUGAACGAGCUUUGUGGACUACUGGGCCCAGCUGAAUGGUUCUCACCUGAGGUCUGUCAUGUAGUAGAGGAAGCUGCAGUCAGCAGAAGGCAUGACUGAUUGCAUGCCAAAAAUGGCUCAGUCACAUGGGUGGAAUUUGAUGCCAGUUCCUGGUUGAGAGCUCAGCUAUGGCUAUUGACUGGAUAUCUACACAGGGCUGUCCUCGUGGCAUGGGAGUCUCACAAUGACAACUGAGUUCUCAGAAGGAGAGUGCCUACAGCAGGCACUCCAAAAG